AGCGCACGUAAGAGCUCACAGAGAUCUCUUGUACAGGCAGCAAAUAACCAGAGUUUGGAUGACAUCAAAGUCAAGAGAAAGUGCCUGGCUUUGUCCAGAAUCUAUUUCAAUUGCAAAGCAUUCUUAGCAAUGCCCCAGAAGACAAGGCGCUGCAUCUGGUAUCUGAAUGAGCAGGAGUUCCCUUUAUCUGGGGUCCAUCACUGCUCUGAGCCUUCCUGACAUUGGAAAGUUCGUUUUAUUCUGAACGAUCAGCUUUGACAGAAAAAAGGACAUCUCUGCAUAUGAAGGACACAUACUGCAGAAUCAUAGAGAAAAGGGACCAGCUGAAAUACUGCGAGCUGUUAUAGAACCUGUGGCCCAGGUGGGUGCUGUGGUUCCCUGCCCCAGAAAUGGACCCAGCCAAGUGGGAUAUGCCUUUACCCUGGGCUGGCAUACAGACUGUUACCCUGCCACCCUCCUGGGGCCUGACCAUUGGCCUGCACGCAGAGCAGUGCACAGCAGGCCAGGGAACAGUCACCUGAGUGCUCAGGCCAGGUAAGCCAGGCCAUCGUCCGCCCAACUCUCUGCAGCAGCUGAGCUCCUGGUCUGCACAGCUCAGGGCUCUCUGGUGACUGUGACGGGGAGCGGAGCAAGCCCAGAGAGUCAAGGCCUCACUCCUGCAGGCUGUUGUCUCAGCAGAGGCUCAGGCCAGAAGAAGAGUGUGGAUCAAGAUGGGGCAGUCCAGGCUGGGCAGAGACAGGGAAGCAGAGCACUGGUCACAGAGACACCAAGAAGCCACAGUCAAGAGCUAUGAACCCGGAAGAAGGUGUGGUGCAAAACAUGACAGUGUCAAAGGCCACAGUCAGGAUGGGUCCCAAGGACAUGGUUGUGCGAACAGGGCCUCGGGUAAGGUCAGUUCUUGCAUUUUAAUUGUAUGGCCCCCCUCCCCUGACACUGCUGUCUGCUCUAAGCCUGUGCCUUUUGGACCCUGAGGGCAUAAAAGUGAGUAAGACACCACCCUGAGCUAUGUCCAAAGCUAGGAAAGCCAUCAUGGGAAUGGCUAAAACCAGCUGCACUUAGUAAUUGCUGCAUCUGAGCUGUGUUCCUACUGUGCUGUCAUUGUCCACCGAGAACCUAUGCAGGGCUGGUGCUCAGGACAUAUUCACAAAUGAAGAAAUGAACGGGGGAGAGAAUGAGUGAAUAAGUCAGUAACAAAGAAGUCUUGAACAGAAGUUGGCAAAGAGCAUUGAAGGAAGUGAUGACAUCUCAAGGCCUUAAAGUGUCUGUGUAUGCCAAAAUAGAAUCCAUUUUUGCUGUUUCCCAAUAAAUGACAGGCAAUUACCAU
Chinchilla lanigera (long-tailed chinchilla) is the source of this 1324-nucleotide long non-coding RNA. RefSeq lists it as uncharacterized. Lineage: Eukaryota; Metazoa; Chordata; Mammalia; Rodentia; Chinchillidae. The record is from RefSeq and is a predicted model, not a curated record. The transcript is spliced from 4 exons.